RNAcentral lists this ribosomal RNA (406 nucleotides) under uncultured bacterium. RNAcentral's name for it is "partial 16S ribosomal RNA". It matches the Rfam family "Bacterial small subunit ribosomal RNA", at positions 30 to 526 of the family's 1533-position model. The record is from RNAcentral.
AUUGAACGCUGGCGGCAGGCCUAACACAUGCAAGUCGAGCGAGCGGCGGACGGGUGAGUAAUGUAUGGGGAUCUGCCUGAUUGAGGGGUAUAACUACUGGAACCGGUAUAUAAUACCGCAUACCAUCAGAUGAACCCAUAUGGGAUUAGCUUGUAGGUGAUGUAACGGCUCACCUAGGCGACGAUCCCUAGCUGGUCUGAGAGGAUGAUCAGACACACUGGGACUGAGACACGGCCCAGACUCCUACGUGAGGCAGCAGUGGGGAAUAUUGCACAAUGGGCGCAAGCCUGAUGCAGCCAGGCCGCGUGUAUGAAGAAGGCCGUCGGGUUGUAAAGUACUUUCAGUCGGGAGGCGUUACCGACAGAAGAAGCACCGGCUAACUCCGUGCCAGCAGCCGCGGUAAUAC